AUAACUACUAAACAUCCAUGCUCAAAGGUCCACACACUCCACACCUCCAAAAAUCAAUACGGAUUGUACCUGCGCCCCCCUCGGUUGUCUUCAUUUUUCCUUCCCCCACCAGAAUAGCUGCUCCGUCCACUGCCUCUCGGGGGAGCUACUGGAGCUCCUGGCUGUUGCAUGACAUAUGCGAGCCGUCCGUCAGGUAAGAUCAUUGGCACCAUCGCCAUGCCACCAGGAGCCUGGGGGGGUCUUCCAUACAUCAUCGGCUGUGCAAAUCCCGGAGCAGCAUAACCAUAACCACCACGAGAUGGCUGACUCUGUAACAGGCCACCCUUCUUGUUACUAGAUCCACUGUCAGCUUUUUUAUCAGCUGGGGGCUUCGCAAGGGAACACUCCAGAACUUCACCAUCAAGUUCGUAUUUCUCAGUGUCCUUGAGAGCCUUCAUAGCAGCUGAACGCUCCGCAAAAUGCACAAAGCCAAACCGCUUCUCCUGUCCAGACUUCGCCGGAGGAAG
RNAcentral lists this unclassified non-coding RNA (506 nucleotides) under Hevea brasiliensis (rubber tree). The record is from RNAcentral. Lineage: Eukaryota; Viridiplantae; Streptophyta; Magnoliopsida; Malpighiales; Euphorbiaceae.